GGCUCAGGAUGAACGCUAGCGGCAGGCUUAACACAUGCAAGUCGAGGGGCAGCGCGAGGUAGCAAUACCGUUGGCGGCGACCGGCGCAAGGGUGCGUAACGCGUGAGCAAUCUGCCCGUAUCAGGGGGAUAAGCGAUGGAAACGUCGUCUAAUACCGCAUAACAACGAGGGAGGCAUCUUCCAUGUUUGAAAGAUUCGUCGGAUACGGAUGAGCUCGCGAGACAUUAGCUAGUCGGCGGGUAACGGCCCACCGAGGCUACGAUGUCUAGGGGAACUGAGAGGUUGGUCCCCCACACUGGAACUGAGACACGGUCCAGACUCCUACGGGAGGCAGCAGUGAGGAAUAUUGGACAAUGGCCGGAAGGCUGAUCCAGCCAUGCCGCGUGAAGGAAGAAGGUCCUAUGGAUUGUAAACUUUUGUAUGGGAGCAAUAAGGGUGUCGUGACGCCCGAUGAGAGUACCAUACGAAUAAGCAUCGGCUAACUCCGUGCC
RNAcentral lists this ribosomal RNA (491 nucleotides) under uncultured bacterium. RNAcentral describes it as "bacterial SSU rRNA". It matches the Rfam family "Bacterial small subunit ribosomal RNA", at positions 21 to 509 of the family's 1533-position model. The record is from RNAcentral.